RNAcentral lists this ribosomal RNA (254 nucleotides) under uncultured bacterium. Its description in RNAcentral is "partial 16S ribosomal RNA". It matches the Rfam family "Bacterial small subunit ribosomal RNA", at positions 524 to 776 of the family's 1533-position model. The record is from RNAcentral.
UACGGAGGGGGCAAGCGUUGUUCGGAUUUACCGGGCGUAAAGGGUGUGUAGGCGGCCGCGUAAGUCUGGUGUGAAAUCCUCACCGCUCAACGGGAAGAGUGCACUGGAAACUGCGCGGCUCGAGUGUGGUAGAGGCAAGCGGAAUUCCUGGUGUAGCGGUGGAAUGUGUAGAUAUCAGGAAGAACACCGGUGGCGAAGGCGGCUUGCUGGGCCAUCACUGACGCUGAGACACGAAAGCGUGGGGAGCAAACGGG